This 1528-nucleotide ribosomal RNA is filed under the name Escherichia coli. Its description in RNAcentral is "partial 23S ribosomal RNA". It matches the Rfam family "Bacterial large subunit ribosomal RNA", at positions 1 to 1563 of the family's 2925-position model. The record is from RNAcentral. Lineage: Bacteria; Pseudomonadati; Pseudomonadota; Gammaproteobacteria; Enterobacterales; Enterobacteriaceae.
GGGUUGUGAGGUUAAGCGACUAAGCGUACACGGUGGAUGCCCUGGCAGUCAGAGGCGAUGAAGGACGUGCUAAUCUGCGAUAAGCGUCGGUAAGGUGAUAUGAACCGUUAUAACCGGCGAUUUCCGAAUGGGGAAACCCAGUGUGUUUCGACACACUAUCAUUAACUGAAUCCAUAGGUUAAUGAGGCGAACCGGGGGAACUGAAACAUCUAAGUACCCCGAGGAAAAGAAAUCAACCGAGAUUCCCCCAGUAGCGGCGAGCGAACGGGGAGGAGCCCAGAGCCUGAAUCAGUGUGUGUGUUAGUGGAAGCGUCUGGAAAGGCGCGCGAUACAGGGUGACAGCCCCGUACACAAAAAUGCACAUGCUGUGAGCUCGAUGAGUAGGGCGGGACACGUGGUAUCCUGUCUGAAUAUGGGGGGACCAUCCUCCAAGGCUAAAUACUCCUGACUGACCGAUAGUGAACCAGUACCGUGAGGGAAAGGCGAAAAGAACCCCGGCGAGGGGAGUGAAAAAGAACCUGAAACCGUGUACGUACAAGCAGUGGGAGCACGCUUAGGCGUGUGACUGCGUACCUUUUGUAUAAUGGGUCAGCGACUUAUAUUCUGUAGCAAGGUUAACCGAAUAGGGGAGCCGAAGGGAAACCGAGUCUUAACUGGGCGUUAAGUUGCAGGGUAUAGACCCGAAACCCGGUGAUCUAGCCAUGGGCAGGUUGAAGGUUGGGUAACACUAACUGGAGGACCGAACCGACUAAUGUUGAAAAAUUAGCGGAUGACUUGUGGCUGGGGGUGAAAGGCCAAUCAAACCGGGAGAUAGCUGGUUCUCCCCGAAAGCUAUUUAGGUAGCGCCUCGUGAAUUCAUCUCCGGGGGUAGAGCACUGUUUCGGCAAGGGGGUCAUCCCGACUUACCAACCCGAUGCAAACUGCGAAUACCGGAGAAUGUUAUCACGGGAGACACACGGCGGGUGCUAACGUCCGUCGUGAAGAGGGAAACAACCCAGACCGCCAGCUAAGGUCCCAAAGUCAUGGUUAAGUGGGAAACGAUGUGGGAAGGCCCAGACAGCCAGGAUGUUGGCUUAGAAGCAGCCAUCAUUUAAAGAAAGCGUAAUAGCUCACUGGUCGAGUCGGCCUGCGCGGAAGAUGUAACGGGGCUAAACCAUGCACCGAAGCUGCGGCAGCGACGCUUAUGCGUUGUUGGGUAGGGGAGCGUUCUGUAAGCCUGUGAAGGUGUGCUGUGAGGCAUGCUGGAGGUAUCAGAAGUGCGAAUGCUGACAUAAGUAACGAUAAAGCGGGUGAAAAGCCCGCUCGCCGGAAGACCAAGGGUUCCUGUCCAACGUUAAUCGGGGCAGGGUGAGUCGACCCCUAAGGCGAGGCCGAAAGGCGUAGUCGAUGGGAAACAGGUUAAUAUUCCUGUACUUGGUGUUACUGCGAAGGGGGGACGGAGAAGGCUAUGUUGGCCGGGCGACGGUUGUCCCGGUUUAAGCGUGUAGGCUGGUUUUCCAGGCAAAUCCGGAAAAUCAAGGCUGAGGCG